UUUUUGUAAUUAAAAUGGAAAACUAAAAAUAAGAUGGAGUGUAUAUAAUUAAAUUAU
RNAcentral lists this small RNA (57 nucleotides) under Arabidopsis thaliana (thale cress). RNAcentral describes it as "ATSL084010". Lineage: Eukaryota; Viridiplantae; Streptophyta; Magnoliopsida; Brassicales; Brassicaceae. The record is from RNAcentral.